RNAcentral lists this long non-coding RNA (1997 nucleotides) under Macaca fascicularis (crab-eating macaque). Its description in RNAcentral is "lncRNA (ENSMFAG00000048634.1)". The record is from RNAcentral. Lineage: Eukaryota; Metazoa; Chordata; Mammalia; Primates; Cercopithecidae.
CUGCCUCCCGGGUUCAAGUGAUUCUCCCACCUCAGCCUCCUGAGUAGCUGGGACUACAGGCAUGUACCACCAUGCCUGGAUAAUUUUUAUAUUUUUUGUAGAGACAGGGUUUUGCCACGUUGCCCAGGCUGGUCUUGCAUUCCUGGGCUCAAGUGACCUGCCUGCCCUGGUCUCACAACGUGCUGGGAUUACAGGCAUGAGCCACUGUGCCCGGCCAUUCUUCACAUUUUAUUUCAAAUUACUGACAAAAUAUCGGAACAGAAGACUGAGGCCUCCACCAAAACACUGGAUGUCUAUGUCCAUAUUCACACCCAACCUACCUGGACUUUGGGGUGAGAAAACCCAGACUUGGACCUUGGUGUCUCCCCCUGCGGUAUCACAGGUAAGGCAUUGAGCAUUGCUCAGGCCCCAGUUUCCGAUCUGUACAGUGGGGAUAAGAAGAUCUCUCAUAGCCAUAACUUAGAGAGCCCAGUAGACCCUCCAUAAGUGAUAGGCUGGACUUUUGAAAGAGGGGGUCGGUUGGGAGCACACAGAUCUGGCCUUAGAUACCUUUAUUCCCCAUUCACUCAACACAUACUAAGUGCUAUGUACCAGAUACUUUCUUAGGCUGUCUAAAUACUAAAGUGGGUGGAAGAGGACACCAGUGGACAGUCCAGUGAGAAAACAAUGAUCAAAGAGUCGCAUGAAUAGUAGCUGAGGAGGGAGGCCUGCUCUAACCUGGAGAGUCAGGAAAGGGCGCCCUGGGAAGGUGGCUUCUGAAUGGAGAUUGAUAGGCAGAGAAGGGAGGGUCACUCCAGGCUGGCUGUUCUCAACCAGGGAGUUUCUUGCCCUUUGGGGCAGGGAGGCAUUCAGCAAGGCCUGGGGAUAUUUUUGAUUGUUAAAACUGAUUGGAAAGUGAUGAGGGAGAGAGAAGCUUCUGCUGUACAUGGAAUAUGCACAGGACAACCCCCCACAAAAAUCACCUGGCCUAAAACAUCAGUAGUCCCAAGGUUGAGAAAACCUGGACCACACAGAAGCAACAGCAUCUGCACAGGCCGUGCUGUGGGAAAGCUGAAGUCCGAGGAGGCCGGGGAGGGUGCUUGAGAAGGCUGGCCUUGGUGAUGAGCCGGCUCAUACAGGGUUCACAGACCACGUGGUGCUUACUUUAAACUGGGGGAGAAUCCAAAGCAGGUCAGUGACAUGAUCCAAGUUAGUGAGGUUUUGACAAGGUCACUUGGCUGCUGGUGGGAAGGGAAUUGGAGAGAGGCUAAGAGGACAUGAGCAGAGAAGCCAAGAGACCAUCCCAGGUGUCAGCGUCGAAAUGAAGGUGGCUCUGUGCAGCCAAGUGGCAGAGGAGCUGGAGAAAUGUGGACAGUUAAGAGUAAUGAUAAGGCCAGAGGUGGGUGGUGGGGGAAUGAGAGGUGCUAAAUAAAAUUCGGCACAGAAGCCACUGAGGGAGAAGCUGGCCUUAAACUGGAGAGAGAAGGUUCUUGAGAAGAAAUGAGAUAGGGCCCCAAAUCAGGUGGAGUUUGGCCCUACAAAAGAGGAAAUAAGGCUCCUGUAUAUUAAGAGGUCCAGAUGGGAACAGAAGUAGGCACCUCUGCACAUUCAUACAGUUGGCUAAGCCCCAGUUGCAGCAUUCAGUGGUCAUAUUACAAGAAGUUCCACCUCUCCAACUCUCAACUUCUUCAUAUUAAAAAAAAAAAAAAAAAAAAAAAAAAAAAAAAGGCCAGUGCAGUAGCUCAUGCCUGUAAUCCCAGCACUUUGUGAGGCCAAAGUGGGUAGAUCACCUGAGGUCAGAAGUUCCAGACCAGCCUGACCAAUAUGGUAAAAAUACAAAAAUUAGCUGGGCCUGGUGGCAUGCACCUGUAGUUCCAGUUACUCAAGAGGUUGAGACAGGAGAAUUGCUUGAACCCAGGAGGCGGAGGUUGCGGUGAGCCGAGAUCGCGCCAUUGCACUCCAGCCUGGGUGACAGAGGAAGACUCUGUCUCAAAAAAAAAAAAAAAUUAAAAAAAAAA